Molecule: long non-coding RNA, 361 nt
Filed under: Mytilus galloprovincialis (Mediterranean mussel)
Lineage: Eukaryota; Metazoa; Mollusca; Bivalvia; Mytilida; Mytilidae
Source: RNAcentral
UUUGGUAAACACAUUUUUGUUGUAAAAUACUUUAUAAUAUAAAUACAUGCAUGUUAUUGCUCUUAUACAAUCUUGUGAUAAUCACUGAUUUUCAAAUGCCUAUCUUCUUUCACGGUAAAAUAUUGUUUAUGUUCAAACACUAAACCAAAUCAAACUCUGUAAAUGAAUCCAUGCAUUAUACAGCCCUCCAGUAUUGUUUUAGAUUGAACGAUAUGUUGAUGUCGAUGAAUCAGUAUAAUAAAGAAACAUUAUCUCGGAAUGCACCGCAGGUUUGGUAAAUUUGGUACCCCUGUUAAUUGUAUUGAAAUUAAAUUAUCUAUUACUUAUUUAUGUCAGAUAUAAUUGUAAAACAAUAUAUAAG